AUUGAACGCUGGCGGAAUGCUUUACACAUGCAAGUCGAACGGCAGCACGGACUUCGGUCUGGUGGCGAGUGGCGAACGGGUGAGUAAUGUAUCGGAACGUGCCCAGUCGUGGGGGAUAACGUAGUGAAAAUUACGCUAAUACCGCAUACGAUCUAUGGAUGAAAGCGGGGGAUCGCAAGACCUCGCGCGAUUGGAGCGGCCGAUAUCAGAUUAGGUAGUUGGUGGGGUAAAGGCCCACCAAGCCAACGAUCUGUAGCUGGUCUGAGAGGACGACCAGCCACACGGGAGCGGAGACACGGUCCAGACUCCUACGGGAGGCAGCAGUGGGGAAUUUUGGACAAUGGGCGAAAGCCUGAUCCAGCCAUUCCGCGUGCAGGAUGAAGGCCCUCGGGUUGUAAACUGCUUUUGUACAGAACGAAAAGGUUUCUACUAAUACUAGGAGCUCAUGACGGUACUGUAAGAAUAAGCACCGGCUAACUACGUGCCAGCAGCAGCCGCAG
RNAcentral lists this ribosomal RNA (500 nucleotides) under uncultured bacterium. Its description in RNAcentral is "partial 16S ribosomal RNA". It matches the Rfam family "Bacterial small subunit ribosomal RNA", at positions 30 to 523 of the family's 1533-position model. The record is from RNAcentral.